GGCCUAUUGACUCAGCUGGUUAGACCGUCGUGCUAAUAACGUGAAGGUCGCAGGUUCGAGACUUGCAUGGGCCA
This is a non-coding RNA of Zea mays, 74 nucleotides long. Lineage: Eukaryota; Viridiplantae; Streptophyta; Magnoliopsida; Poales; Poaceae. The record is from Rfam.